AAUAAGUUGAUUUGUAGGUUUCUGUGUCUAACCUUUAACCGUCUGUCUUAUAUAAAUUCUUUUUAUGAUUAUUAUUUUUAUUUUCAUUAGAUGAUAAAACAUGAAUAAUACUUUAUGUGUGACUUAUCUUUUCAAAUUUUUCAUCUUUUUAAUUUUUUUCAUAUUUUUUCAAAUAAAACGGACGGUUAAAGGUUAUACACGGAAACCCACGAAUCAACUUAUU
Oryza glaberrima (African rice) is the source of this 223-nucleotide non-coding RNA. The record is from Rfam. NCBI's taxonomy places the organism in Eukaryota, Viridiplantae, Streptophyta, Magnoliopsida, Poales, Poaceae.